GGCCAGACAGUCGCGUCACUCGCAAGAGUGCCGAGGAAAGUCCGGGCUCCAUAGGGCAAGGUGCCAGGUAACGCCUGGGCGGCGCAAGCCGACGGACAGUGCAACAGAAAGAUACCGCCUACGUUCCUUUCGGGGAGCCGGUAAGGGUGAAAUGGUGCGGUAAGAGCGCACCGCGAGUCCGGUAACGGACCGGCACGGCAAACCCCACCUGGAGCAAGACCAAAUAGGGAUCCAUUGGCGUGGCCCGC
RNAcentral lists this RNase P RNA (248 nucleotides) under Vibrio parahaemolyticus. Its description in RNAcentral is "partial RNase P RNA component class A". It matches the Rfam family "Bacterial RNase P class A", at positions 7 to 258 of the family's 367-position model. From Rfam's summary of the family: Ribonuclease P (RNase P) is a ubiquitous endoribonuclease, found in archaea, bacteria and eukarya as well as chloroplasts and mitochondria. Lineage: Bacteria; Pseudomonadati; Pseudomonadota; Gammaproteobacteria; Vibrionales; Vibrionaceae. The record is from RNAcentral.